Molecule: ribosomal RNA, 459 nt
Filed under: uncultured bacterium
Lineage: Bacteria
Description: partial 16S ribosomal RNA
Rfam family: Bacterial small subunit ribosomal RNA
Source: RNAcentral
CCUACGGUAGUCAGCAGUGAGGAAUAUUGGUCAAUGGGAGGAAUCCUGAACCAGCCAUUCCGCGUGCAGGACGACGGCUCUACGAGUUGUAAACUGCUUUUGUACCGGGGUAAAAUGCUCUUCGAGUAGGGUUUUGAAAGUACGGUACGAAUAAGGAUCGGCUAACUUCGUGCCAGCAGCCGCGGUAAUACGGAGGAUCCGAGCGUUAUCCUGAUUUCUUUGGUUUAAAGGGUGCGUAGGCGGAACUUUAAGUCAGCGGUAAAAUCGAGGGGCUCAACCCCUUUAAGCCGUUGAAACGGGUGAUCUUGAGUGGGCGAGAAGUAUGCGGAAUGCGUGGUGUAGCGGUGAAAUGCAUAGAUAUCACGCAGAACUCCGAUUGCGAAGGCAGCAUACCGGCGCCCGACUGACGCUGAGGCACGAAAGCGUGGGGAUCGAACAGGAUUAGAUACCCGGGUAGUC